GAUGAACGCUGGCGGCGUGCCUAAUACAUGCAAGUCGAGCGAACAGACGAGGAGCUUGCUCCUCAGACGUUAGCGGCGGACGGGUGAGUCACACGUGGAUAACCUACCUAUAAGACUGGGAUAACUUCGGGAAACCGGAGCUUAUACCGGAUAAUAUAUUGAACCGCAUGGGUCAUUAGUGAAAGACGGUUUUGUUGUCAUGUCUAGAUGGAUACGAGCCGAAUUAGCUGGUUGGUAAGUGAAGGGCUUACCAGGGCGACGAUGCGUAUCCGGCCUGGGGGGGUGAUCGGCCACACUGGAGCUGGAUCACCGCCCAGACCCCUACGGGAGGCAGCAGUAGCGAAUGUUACGCAUUGGUCGGAAGCCUGACGCAACAACGCCGCGUGAGUGAUGAAGAUCUUCGGAGCGUAAUACACUGUUAUUAGUGAAGAACACAUGUGUCAUUAGCUGUGCACGGCUUGACGGUACCUAAUCAGAAAGCCACGGCUAACUACGUG
Molecule: ribosomal RNA, 497 nt
Filed under: uncultured bacterium
Lineage: Bacteria
Description: partial 16S ribosomal RNA
Rfam family: Bacterial small subunit ribosomal RNA
Source: RNAcentral